GAUGAACGCUGGCGGCGUGCCUAAUACAUGCAAGUCGAGCGAACAGAUGAGGAGCUUGCUCCUCUGACGUUAUCGGCGGACGGGUGAGUAACACGUGGAUAACCUACCUAUAAGACUGGGAUAACUUCGGGAAACCGGAGCUAAUACCGGAUAAUAUAUUGAACCUCAUGGUUCAAUAGUUAAAGACGCUUUUGCUGUCACUUAUAGAUGGAUCCGCGCCGCAUCAGCUAGUUGGUAAGGUAACGGCUUACCAAGGCAACGAGGCGUAGCCGACCUGAGAGGGUGGUCGGCCAGCUGGGAAGAGAGGCACGGUCGCGACACCGAGAGUGGGACACGGUCGAGAAUCCUACGGGAGGCAGCAGAGGGGAACAGUGCAACGUGGGCGAAGUGAUGAUGGAGUUCGGAUCGGAGAACUCUGAAAGUAGGGGAGUUGAAAUGUGUUAGUAACUGUGAACAUAAUGACAGUACCGGGUGAAAAAGCCACGGCUAACUACGUG
RNAcentral lists this ribosomal RNA (497 nucleotides) under uncultured bacterium. RNAcentral's name for it is "partial 16S ribosomal RNA". It matches the Rfam family "Bacterial small subunit ribosomal RNA", at positions 28 to 507 of the family's 1533-position model. The record is from RNAcentral.